CGGGUGAGUAACGCGUGAGGAACCUGCCUCAAAGAGGGGGACAACAGUUGGAAACAACUGCUAAUACCGCAUAAGCCCACGGCUCGGCAUCGAGCAGAGGGAAAAGGAGUGAUCCGCUUUGAGAUGGCCUCGCGUCCGAUUAGCUAGUUGGUGAGGUAACGGCCCACCAAGGCGACGAUCGGUAGCCGGACUGAGAGGUUGAACGGCCACAUUGGGACUGAGACACGGCCCAG
This 233-nucleotide ribosomal RNA is filed under the name uncultured bacterium. Its description in RNAcentral is "partial 16S ribosomal RNA". It matches the Rfam family "Bacterial small subunit ribosomal RNA", at positions 103 to 334 of the family's 1533-position model. The record is from RNAcentral.